AUACGGAGGAUGCAAGCGUUAUCCGGAUUUAUUGGGUUUAAAGGGUGCGUAGGCGGUUUGCUAAGCGGGAGGCGAAAUGCCGGCGCUCAACGUCGGAAGUGCCUCCCGAACUGGUGGACUUGAAUGACUCUGCCGUGGGAGGAAUGUGUAGUGUAGCGGUGAAAUGCUUAGAGAUUACACAGAACACCGAUUGCGAAGGCAUCUCACGAAGGGGUGAUUGACGCUGAGGCACGAAAGCGUGGGGAUCAAACAGGAUUAGAUACCCUGGUAGUCCACGCAGUAAACGAUGAUAACUAACCGCUGGGUCGUAGUGAUUCAGUGGCCAAGCGAAAGCGAUAAGUUAUCCACCUGGGGAGUACGACCGCAAGGUUGAAACUCAAAUGAAUUGACGGGG
This 394-nucleotide ribosomal RNA is filed under the name uncultured bacterium. Its description in RNAcentral is "partial 16S ribosomal RNA". It matches the Rfam family "Bacterial small subunit ribosomal RNA", at positions 523 to 918 of the family's 1533-position model. The record is from RNAcentral.